RNAcentral lists this ribosomal RNA (518 nucleotides) under Ariadne ariadne. RNAcentral's name for it is "partial 16S ribosomal RNA". The stretch from base 384 to 518 matches the Rfam family "Archaeal large subunit ribosomal RNA", at positions 2542 to 2677 of the family's 2987-position model. Lineage: Eukaryota; Metazoa; Arthropoda; Insecta; Lepidoptera; Nymphalidae. The record is from RNAcentral.
UUAAAGUCUAAUCUGCCCACUGAUUAAUUAAUUAAAGGGCUGCAGUAUAUUGACUGUACAAAGGUAGCAUAAUCAUUAGUCUCUUAAUUGGAGACUUGUAUGAAAGAUUUGAUGAAAUAUAAACUGUCUCUAAUUUAUUAAUAAAAAUUAAUUUUUUAGUUAAAAAGCUAAAAUUUAAUUAAAAGACGAGAAGACCCUAUAGAGUUUUAUAUUUAUUUAUUAAUUAUAUAUAUAUAUAUAUAUAUAUAUAUAAAUUUAUUUAAUUAAUAAAAAAUAUUGUAUUGGGGUGAUAAAAAAAUUAACUAAACUUUUUUUAAAAUUUAAAUAUAAAUAAGUAAAAAAUUGAUCCAUUAAUAAUGAUUAAAAGAAAAAAUUACCUUAGGGAUAACAGCGUAAUAUUUUUUUUUAGAACAAAUAAAAAAAAAAGUUUGCGACCUCGAUGUUGGAUUAAGAUAAAAUUUAAAUGCAAAAGUUUAAAAUUUUGAUCUGUUCGAUCAUUAAAAUCUUACAUGAUCUGA